This 2626-nucleotide long non-coding RNA is filed under the name Triticum aestivum (bread wheat). RNAcentral's name for it is "long non-coding RNA (TAES_LNC003116)". The record is from RNAcentral. Lineage: Eukaryota; Viridiplantae; Streptophyta; Magnoliopsida; Poales; Poaceae.
UUUCCUGCACCAUCUAACUAGUCCACCUACGCUGCCCUGCGCUAUUCGACACGAAGCCAUGGCGGUUCCCCUUCUCUAUAGGCCAACAGAGAAGGCCGCUCCAUCCAAGCGGUUGCGAGCCGGCUGCGGUGGUUCCGCAGAAGGGGAAUAGGGCAUCCCACCGGUGGGAUGCAGUUGAACUGAAGCGACAGUGCCAAGUUGGAUCGCGAUUUCGGCUGCGGAGCGGCGCUUGGCCGCAGCGACGCGCUCCACGAGCUUGAGAAGUGUAUUGUCUCUCCUCUCCCAUCCUCGUAUCCUUGAUUGAUCCUCGCCUCCCUGAUUGAUCUAGGCCCAUUGAUCUGGGUCAAUUUUUCAUUGACUAGGUAUGAAUAUGAUUGACCUCAUUUUCAAGCUUGGUCACUCGCUCACUGCACGCGCUCAUGAGCUCAAGCCCCGCCCCUUACCUCCCUCUAACUUGGCCACCUCCAUCCCCUGGUAAAAUACUAAAAUCCCUUUUUGUUUUUUAUAGACUGAAAUUUGUUUGUGUCGGCUGAAUUUGUGUGUUUUCAGUUUGGCAUCUAAAUGGGGGUCGUAAGUUAUGAUGGGGACAUUACUUGUCAGGGAAUCACUUGGGCUUGUUAUAGUAACAGCAGAACGAAAUGACCAUAUUAUAUGAAAUUAUACUGCUUAUGCUAAGGUUAUAGUAUUAGACAAAGGUGAUUCUUUUUCAAAUUAGUGACAAAUCAUAGCUCAUUUUGUUGUGGAAGGACAAUUUAACAUUCAGUUACUUUCUCAGACUAAAUUGACAUCGGUUCAUACAAAUGACCUUGUCGCUGCUAAUCUCAGGCCAUCCAGGCAAGACAUAGCUUCAAUUUUUUUGGCAUCAGUGCAUGCUUGAAGCACUCUGCCUACAGAAAGCAAAACCUUUCCGAUUAUCUUGUAAAACCAUCCACACACUCGCAGCUCCUGCUGCCCUAAUGAUAGAGCCAUCCACAUUGAUUUUGAUCCAGUUCAUUCCGGCGGCUUCCAGCCAGAUCAAUUAUGUACUCAACCACUCGCCCCUUUCUUCCGUGAGUAAUUAACUGGUAUAUUGCUGCAUGUGUUAUUGCAGUGGGCAAGUGCAGAAAAGUUAUGGCCUAUUUGAUGUGAAGAAGUUGAGGGGAAUGUGUUGCAAACCAUGAUGUUUUCCUAACCUAUUGAUUUUGUCACAGGACUCGGUCGCCACUCCACAAUUCCAUAUGGUGGCUACUGACAAAUUUAUUUGUACAAUAAAGAAGCUAAUUUGUUUAAUCUUGUUAGAUACACUUGCGGAAUGCAUAAGUAGCUUCAUCAUUGUCUUUUUAUAUUUUAUAUCUUCUGACAUGAACUAUUGCAUCUACUGAGGUGAUUGCGUUGGGAAGCUUGCCAGACUACAUGCUAGGCUCUCUACCGCUAUGCAAUAGUAUUUUUGUCAGUCUACAAUCUAGUGCUCAGAAUUAUUCUGUUUGGAAAUAACAAACAUGACAAGCUUUUUUUCUGAAAUUGUGGUCUGCAUGUUCAUAAUAAAUCACAUGUUCAUUUAUGGAGUUCUUGAAAGAAAAAAGGUACUGAUUGUGUGUGCAACACUUGAUUACAUGAUUUAAAAUGUUGUUGCUUAUAUCAAGAAGAUUUUGGUCAAGAAAUAAAAAAAGAACAUACAUAAUUGUCAAUACGUCGGGUUUUGUUUUGGAAUUAAAUGCUUUAGAUCUGGGAUGCCGCUUUUAUAUCCUCUAUUGUGUUCAAUCAGGUUUUAUUAGAUGAUCAAUUAAUCUUUAGUUGCAUCUAAAAAAUGAUCUUUAGUUUCACAGUGUCAUCGGGUUGCAACUGAACAUGACAAGAAACUGUUGUUCAAGGUGUUAAUGAUCUUCUGUUAGUUUUGAAUAUUCACAGAUUUGCUUGUUAAAAUCUUGUCAAGUUUCUUUGUGACAGUUACAGUUUAGCACAAUUCCGAAUAUAUUCUCUUGAUAUGAAAGGCAUACAUUAAAGAAAUCAAAGUUUCAUUCUCAUUCUUGUGUAGCUUUGUGCAUGCUUGUUGUUUAGCCUUUGGUGAAAUCUGCAAGCUUUCAUUGUAGGUGGUAAUUGAAUCAAGAAAUUCAGUAUGAACUUAUAAAGUGUAGAGGUUCUACAGAUGCGGCAACAUCAAGGACUGCCGUGAGGAAGCACCUGGAGUGGAGUCACGACAACGUUGUGAUUCUCAUUAACCUAUGAGAACGAACAUAACCACAACCACGUACAGCCCCCGACCUAUCGAUGCUCGCCAUGAAUUCAGUAAAGCCCGACUGAAGUUACCAAUCCCAGAAGAAUAUAGAAGAACUCUAAAUUAUUAUGCCAUGGAUGGAACAUGUCAUUAAUCUGGUCUUUGGUUAUUCGGUCUGACAAAAGAAUUGGAUGUAAGUGAAUUUUGUAUCAGGAAGGCAAACAUUACAUUGCGUGUCGUUUUCAUGAUGUAUAAUGAAUACUUGAUCUUGGCUGCAUCUUCCUUAUGUCGGCAAACAUUUACCUUAUGAGUUAUUCUGUCGAUAAAUCGUGCUUAUCAAAUAUCCGUGUACAAGUACCACUGGAAAUUUUUUCUUCUAACUUGUGUGCAUUUUCAGAAGAUUGCGAUAGGCUUGUCAGUAAGUGUUAUGUU